RNAcentral lists this ribosomal RNA (482 nucleotides) under uncultured bacterium. RNAcentral's name for it is "bacterial SSU rRNA". It matches the Rfam family "Bacterial small subunit ribosomal RNA", at positions 31 to 507 of the family's 1533-position model. The record is from RNAcentral.
GAACGCUGGCGGCAGGCCUAACACAUGCAAGUCGAGCGGUAGAGAGGUGCUUGCAUCUCUUGAGAGCGGCGGACGGGUGAGUAAUGCCUAGGAAUCUGCCUAGUGGUGGGGGAUAACGUUCGGAAACGGACGCUAAUACCGCAUACGUCCUACGGGAGAAAGCGGGGGAUCUUCGGACCUCGCGCCAUUAGAUGAGCCUAGGUCGGAUUAGCUAGUUGGUGAGGUAAUGGCUCACCAAGGCGACGAUCCGUAAACUGGUCUGAGAGGAUGAUCAGUCACACUGGAACUGAGACACGGUCCAGACUCCUACGGGAGGCAGCAGUGGGGAAUAUUGGACAAUGGGCGAAAGCCUGAUCCAGCCAUGCCGCGUGUGUGAAGAAGGUCUUCGGAUUGUAAAGCACUUUAAGUUGGGAGGAAGGGUAGUAACCUAAUACGUUGCUACUUUGACGUUACCGACAGAAUAAGCACCGGCUAACUUCGUG